CUUGGAGUCACCUGCAAAAGACUGCUGCCUUUCCUGUCGGUAUCCACCAGUGCAAAGGCUCUGUAGUACAGUAUGUGGCAGUGUAAAGCUUGUUCUGAAUCAACUACAAGUAGGAAUGAACUUCUUUCUCACUAUAAACUUAAAC
Long non-coding RNA from Melanotaenia boesemani (Boeseman's rainbowfish), 145 nucleotides. RefSeq lists it as uncharacterized. The record is from RefSeq and is a predicted model, not a curated record. NCBI's taxonomy places the organism in Eukaryota, Metazoa, Chordata, Actinopteri, Atheriniformes, Melanotaeniidae. The transcript is spliced from 3 exons.